RNAcentral lists this ribosomal RNA (468 nucleotides) under uncultured bacterium. Its description in RNAcentral is "partial 16S ribosomal RNA". It matches the Rfam family "Bacterial small subunit ribosomal RNA", at positions 28 to 507 of the family's 1533-position model. The record is from RNAcentral.
GACGAACGCUGGCGGCGUGCUUAACACAUGCAAGUCGAACGGAAAGGCCCUGCUUUUGUGGGGUGCUCGAGUGGCGAACGGGUGAGUAACACGUGAGUAACCUGCCCUUGACUUUGGGAUAACUUCAGGAAACUGGGGCUAAUACCGGAUAGGAGCUCCUGCUGCAUGGUGGGGGUUGGAAAGUUUCGGCGGUUGGGUAUGGACUCGCGGCUUAUCAGCUUGUUGGUGGGGUAGUGGCUUACCAAGGCUUUGACGGGUAGCCGGCCUGAGAGGGUGACCGGCCACAUUGGGACUGAGAUACGGCCCAGACUCCUACGGGAGGCAGCAGUGGGGAAUAUUGCACAAUGGGCGGUAGCCUGAUGCAGCAACGCCGCGUGCGGGAUGACGGCCUUCGGGUUGUAAACCGCUUUCGCCUGUGACGAAGCGUGAGUGACGGUAAUGGGUAAAGAAGCACCGGCUAACUACGUG